GACGAACGCUGGCGGCGUGCUUAACACAUGCAAGUCGAACGGAAAGGCCCUGCUUGCCGGGUGCUCGAGUGGCGAACGGGUGAGUAACACGUGGGUGAUCUGCCCCUUACUUUGGGAUAAGCCUGGGAAACUGGGUCUAAUACUGGAUAGGACCAUGCUGUAGGUGGUGUGGUGGAAAGAUUAGUUUCGGUAAGGGAUGAGCUCGCGGCCUAUCAGCUUGUUGGUGGGGUAAUGGCCUACCAAGGCGUCGACGGGUAGCCGGCCUGAGAGGGUGGACGGCCACAUUGGGACUGAGAUACGGCCCAGACGCCUACGGGAGGCAGCAGUGGGGAAUAUUGCACAAUGGGCGCAAGCCUGAUGCAGCGACGCCGCGUGGGGGAUGACGGCCUUCGGGUUGUAAACUCCUUUCAGCCAUGACGAAGCCCUUGUGGUGACGGUAGUGGUAGAAGGAGCACCGGCUAACUACGUG
RNAcentral lists this ribosomal RNA (469 nucleotides) under uncultured bacterium. RNAcentral describes it as "partial 16S ribosomal RNA". It matches the Rfam family "Bacterial small subunit ribosomal RNA", at positions 28 to 507 of the family's 1533-position model. The record is from RNAcentral.